Long non-coding RNA from Daphnia carinata, 437 nucleotides. RefSeq lists it as uncharacterized. Lineage: Eukaryota; Metazoa; Arthropoda; Branchiopoda; Diplostraca; Daphniidae. The transcript has 3 exons. The record is from RefSeq and is a predicted model, not a curated record.
UUCGUCAUACUGUGGUUUCACUCCAUCUGUCAUUUGUACCAAUUGUAGAUAUUGUCCAUAACAAGUCUUCAUGUUUACAUUCUUGCCAGUGGUGCUGAUACUUUUUUUUAUCACAACUGCUUGUUUCAGCUGUUCCAAGUAUUGAAGCAUUACUUAUGCAAGUACUUAGAGAGGGCUGCCCAUUACAAAAGAAGAGCUCAUCACGAUGCUGUGAUGGUAUGUUUGCAAAACUGGAAAAAAUUCUGUGCUAUGGUGGCCUUAAGUAUGUGCUCAACAUUUUGAAAAAUGUGAACAGCAAAAACAGUUGUCACUAUGCAGUGUGUUUGGACAACAGAAGCAUUCUUGAAUCAGACUGCUUCAGUUUAUAUUGAAGAUGUAUUGCUUGUCAUGCCCUGUGACCAACUUCACAGGACUAUGUUGUAAGUUAGUAUCACUUU